UUACCUACGGGACGCAGCAGUGGGGAAUAUUGCACAAUGGGGGAAACCCUGAUGCAGCGACGCCGCGUGAGUGAAGAAGUAUUUCGGUAUGUAAAGCUCUAUCAGCAGGGAAGAAAAAAGACGGUACCUGACUAAGAAGCCCCGGCUAACUACGUGCCAGCAGCCGCGGUAAUACGUAGGGGGCAAGCGUUAUCCGGAUUUACUGGGUGUAAAGGGAGCGUAGACGGCUGUGCAAGUCUGAAGUGAAAGCCCAGGGCUCAACCCUGGGACUGCUUUGGAAACUGUGGAGCUAG
This 293-nucleotide ribosomal RNA is filed under the name uncultured bacterium. RNAcentral's name for it is "partial 16S ribosomal RNA". It matches the Rfam family "Bacterial small subunit ribosomal RNA", at positions 335 to 644 of the family's 1533-position model. The record is from RNAcentral.